GCAGACUUUGCUCUCUGUACCGCGAAUGUAGCAAGCGUGCUCUGCAUUGCCUUAUAAAAGCAGUUUGCUCAACUGCAUAUCUUCCAGACAACCAGUCAGCAGCUUUGCAGUCUGCUUUGCAUGCAGACUAGGUUUUGUUUUGUUUUGGUUUUGUUUUCUGAAACCCAGUAGAAUCUGCACUGUAAAAGAAAACAACAGAAGUGAUAAAGAGGACCCGGCUUCCUCAAGCCAUGGCAACUUGCUCACAGUACCAGAUGUAAGAAUGCAUGUAAUUGUAGCCAGAAGCCUAGACUUUAAAGAAAAGAAGACACCAUCCCCAAGCAGCCAUCCAUGGUGGGGGCAUCACUACUUGUAUGAUCUUUCUCCUCCCCACUCCAGCAGUUGCAGGUAUCUUCA
Molecule: long non-coding RNA, 396 nt
Filed under: Chinchilla lanigera (long-tailed chinchilla)
Lineage: Eukaryota; Metazoa; Chordata; Mammalia; Rodentia; Chinchillidae
Description: lncRNA (ENSCLAG00000022702.1)
Source: RNAcentral